GAUGAACGCUAGCGGCAUGCCUAACACAUGCAAGUCGAACGAGACCUUCGGGUCUAGUGGCGCACGGGUGCGUAACGCGUGGGAACCUGCCUUUAGGUUCGGAAUAACAGUGAGAAAUUACUGCUAAUACCGGAUGAUGUCUUCGGACCAAAGAUUUAUCGCCUUUAGAUGGGCCCGCGUUGGAUUAGCUAGUUGGUGGGGUAAAGGCCUACCAAGGCGACGAUCCAUAGCUGGUCUGAGAGGAUGAUCAGCCACACUGGGACUGAGACACGGCCCAGACUCCUACGGGAGGCAGCAGUGGGGAAUAUUGGACAAUGGGCGAAAGCCUGAUCCAGCAAUGCCGCGUGAGUGAUGAAGGCCUUAGGGUUGUAAAGCUCUUUUACCCGAGAUGAUAAUGACAGUAUCGGGAGAAUAAGCUCCGGCUAACUCCGUG
Molecule: ribosomal RNA, 433 nt
Filed under: uncultured bacterium
Lineage: Bacteria
Description: bacterial SSU rRNA
Rfam family: Bacterial small subunit ribosomal RNA
Source: RNAcentral